GACGAACGCUGGCGGCGUGCUUAACACAUGCAAGUCGAACGGAAAGGCCCUGCUUUUGUGGGGUGCUCGAGUGGCGAACGGGUGGGUAACACGAGUGUAACGUACCCUUGACUUUGGGAUAACUUAAGGUAACUGGGGCUAAUACCGGAUAGGAGCCCCCGCUGCAUGGUGGGGGUUGGAAAGUUGCGGCGGUUGGGGAUGGACGCGCGGAUUAUCGGCUUGUUGGUGGGAUAGUUGCAUACCAAGCCUUUGACUGGUCGCCGGCCUGUGCACGUGACCGGCCACAAGCCUACUGGGAGACGGCCCACACUCCUACGUUAGGCAGCAGUGGGGAAUAUAGCACAAUGGGCGGAAGCCGGUUGCAGCGACUCCGGGGGCGGGAUGACGGCCUUCGGGUUGUAAACCGCUGGCGCCUAUGACGAAGCGUGAGGGACGGUAACGGAAAAAGAAGCACCGGCUAACUACGUG
Molecule: ribosomal RNA, 468 nt
Filed under: uncultured bacterium
Lineage: Bacteria
Description: partial 16S ribosomal RNA
Rfam family: Bacterial small subunit ribosomal RNA
Source: RNAcentral